CUGGUCAUGAAGAUCAGCCAGAAUGCAAACAAAUACAGCUAGAUAUCAAAUCUAUAAUAAAGGAUAUUUCAGCCUUGACUCUUACUGAAGUUAGUUUGGAUAUGCCAAAAGCUGAUAUUCCUUCAGGAAAUAGUGAACCUUCUACAUCUGCAAAUCCUGAAGACAAAUGGGAAGAUAAAAUUGAACAAGAUAAUUUCCAUAUUCAUUGAAGUACAGUGCAGCACGAUUUUGUACUUGGAAAAGAAGCACUUGGACAAAAGACAGAAGCUUUUUUAUUUUCAAAGCAUUUCACAGUUGACAUCCAGAAGACCAAAGCAAGCAGAAUGAAAAAGCAACCAAAAUGGGUCGGUGUGUGAAAGAGGGAACUUCGCUGUUGGUCCUCCUCAAACAACAAGAUGGGCAGCACCUGAAUGAAAUAAUAAAAUGUACAGAUGC
Molecule: long non-coding RNA, 435 nt
Filed under: Notechis scutatus (mainland tiger snake)
Lineage: Eukaryota; Metazoa; Chordata; Lepidosauria; Squamata; Elapidae
Description: lncRNA (ENSNSUG00000010936.1)
Source: RNAcentral